UACGUAGGGGGCAAGCGUUGUCCGGAUUUAUUGGGCGUAAAGAGCGUGUAGGCGGCCAGGUAGGUCCGUUGUGAAAACUGGAGGCUUAACCUCCAGCUGUCGAUGGAAACCAUCUGGCUAGAGUCCGGAAGAGGAGAGUGGAAUUCCUGGUGUAGCGGUGAAAUGCGCAGAUAUCAGGAAGAACACCCGUGGCGAAGGCGGCUCUCUGGGACGGUACUGACGCUAAGGCGCGAAAGCGUGGGGAGCGAACAGG
RNAcentral lists this ribosomal RNA (253 nucleotides) under uncultured bacterium. Its description in RNAcentral is "partial 16S ribosomal RNA". It matches the Rfam family "Bacterial small subunit ribosomal RNA", at positions 524 to 776 of the family's 1533-position model. The record is from RNAcentral.